RNAcentral lists this unclassified non-coding RNA (142 nucleotides) under uncultured Ascomycota. Its description in RNAcentral is "sequence contains ITS2". The record is from RNAcentral. Lineage: Eukaryota; Fungi; Ascomycota.
UGACCACUCAAGCCUGGCUUGGUAUUGGAGUUCGCUAUCGGCGGCCCCUAAAUCAGUGGCGGUGCCUGUAGGCUCUACGAGUAGUAAUACUUCUCGCUAUAGGGUCCUGCGGGUGACUUGCCAACAACACCUAAUUUUUUAA